Non-coding RNA from Salmo salar (Atlantic salmon), 71 nucleotides. The record is from Rfam. NCBI's taxonomy places the organism in Eukaryota, Metazoa, Chordata, Actinopteri, Salmoniformes, Salmonidae.
GCAUUGGUGGUUCAGUGAUAGAAGUCUCGCCUGCAAUGUGAGAGACUCGGGUUCGCUUCUCAGCCUAUGCA